RNAcentral lists this non-coding RNA (168 nucleotides) under bovine gut metagenome. Its description in RNAcentral is "Lysine riboswitch". It matches the Rfam family "Lysine riboswitch aptamer". Rfam says of the family: Riboswitches are metabolite binding domains within certain messenger RNAs that serve as precision sensors for their corresponding targets. The record is from RNAcentral.
GAUAGAGGUGCGGUUCUGCGUGUAACUCAGCUUAGGCUGCCAAAGCCUGUGAGGUUGUGUGAAUAGCCUGACCGCCGAAAAGCUGAAUUUGGCAUAUUUGGCUUUGGUUAUUCACCGCAGUGGUGUUUGACUGUCAUCAUAAUUUGUUUUGUGAUGGGGAGCUAUCGU